This 459-nucleotide ribosomal RNA is filed under the name uncultured bacterium. RNAcentral describes it as "partial 16S ribosomal RNA". It matches the Rfam family "Bacterial small subunit ribosomal RNA", at positions 338 to 795 of the family's 1533-position model. The record is from RNAcentral.
CCUACGGGAGGCAGCAGUGAGGAAUAUUGGUCAAUGGGCGGGAGCCUGAACCAGCCAAGCCGCGUGAGGGAAGAAGGUACUGCGUUUCGUAAACCGCUUUUGUCGGGGAGCAAAAGACGCCACGCGUGGCGUUCUGAGAGUACCCGAAGAAAAAGCAUCGGCUAACUCCGUGACAGCAGCCGCGGUAAUACGGAGGAUGCGAGGGUUAUCCGGUUUUAUUGGGUUUAAGGGGAGCGCAGGCGGAAGAUCAGGACAGCUGUAAAAUUGAGAGGCUCAACCAGGUCUUGCCGUUGAAACUGGUGUUCUUGAGUGAGCGGGAAGCAUGCGGAAUGCGUGGUGUAGCGGUGAAAUGCAUAGAUAUGACGAAGAACUCCGAUUGCGAAGGCAGCUUGCUGGAGCGCAACUGACGCUGAUGCACGAAAGUGUGGGUAUCGAACAGGAUUAGAUACCCCGGUAGUC